RNAcentral lists this microRNA precursor (91 nucleotides) under Caenorhabditis briggsae. RNAcentral's name for it is "microRNA cbr-mir-792 precursor". Its record names the gene cbr-mir-792. Lineage: Eukaryota; Metazoa; Nematoda; Chromadorea; Rhabditida; Rhabditidae. The record is from miRBase by way of RNAcentral.
GAAAACAUCGAAAAAUGAGAAAAUUAUAAUUGUUGGAGGUUGUGACACAAAACUAUGAAAUUGAAAUUUUUUCUAUUUUCGGUCCUUUUUC